ACUAUAUCGGUGGAUAUGGGACACGGAAUAUGUUCGCUUUUGGAAUAUUAAUGUUACGUUCCACAUCAGCCUUGUUUAUUAUACCAUCAUAUUGGUAGUAAAUGAGAGUGAUGAAUAAUACAAUGAAUAGCUUUAAAAUAAUUCAUAUUGUGUAAUAUGCAAUCAGGUCUGAGUUAAUGUAUGGAAAGUAAAAACUGUCAUGAAGUGGAUAAUCAGUAGCAUGAAAAUUUGUGAGAUUAUGGCUAUAUGCAGUGGCUUAUCAGGUGGUAUCUGGUGUUGGAUGUAUCACCAAAUCUACAGCAUAGAAGCAAAUGCAGUUGUGUAAAUAGAUGACAUAUUAGUUGGAAAUGUGGAAGAUUGUCUUGUAGUAGUAGGCACAGUAUAAAAAAAAGACUGAAAAAUAUUAAAAAUGCUCCACAUAUUGUGUACAUAGAAUAUAAGUUUCAUUAAAUGUUAAAGUGAGUUUCAUA
Long non-coding RNA from Cryptotermes secundus, 470 nucleotides. RefSeq lists it as uncharacterized. Lineage: Eukaryota; Metazoa; Arthropoda; Insecta; Blattodea; Kalotermitidae. The record is from RefSeq and is a predicted model, not a curated record. The transcript has 2 exons.